This 29-nucleotide non-coding RNA is filed under the name Rattus norvegicus (Norway rat). The record is from RNAcentral. Lineage: Eukaryota; Metazoa; Chordata; Mammalia; Rodentia; Muridae.
UGUUCUCAUACUGAGAUGGUACAAGUGUA